UGGGGGAUAUUGCACAAUGGGGGAAACCCUGAUGCAGCGACGCCGCGUGUGGGAAGACGGUCCUCUGGAUUGUAAACCACUGUCCCCAGGGACGAAGAUGACGGUACCUGGGGAGGAAGCUCCGGCUAACUACGUGCCAGCAGCCGCGGUAAUACGUAGGGAGCGAGCGUUGUCCGGAAUUACUGGGUGUAAAGGGAGCGUAGGCGGGACUGCAAGUUGGGUGUCAAAUCUACCGGCUCAACCGGUAGCCGCACUCAAAACUGCAGUUCUUGAGUGAAGUAGAGGCAGGCGGAAUUCCUAGUG
Molecule: ribosomal RNA, 303 nt
Filed under: uncultured bacterium
Lineage: Bacteria
Description: bacterial SSU rRNA
Rfam family: Bacterial small subunit ribosomal RNA
Source: RNAcentral